RNAcentral lists this ribosomal RNA (497 nucleotides) under uncultured bacterium. RNAcentral's name for it is "partial 16S ribosomal RNA". It matches the Rfam family "Bacterial small subunit ribosomal RNA", at positions 28 to 507 of the family's 1533-position model. The record is from RNAcentral.
GAUGAACGCUGGCGGCGUGCCUAAUACAUGCAAGUCGAGCGAACAGACGAGGAGCUUGUUCCUCUGACGUUUGCGGCGGACGGGUGAGUAACACGUGGAUACCCUACCUAUAAGACUGGGAUAACUUCGGGAAACCGGCGCUAAUACCGGAUAAUAUAUUGAUCCGUAUGGUUCAAUAGUGAAAUACGGUUUUGCUGUUACUUAUUGAUGGUUCCUUGUCGCAUUAGCUAGUUGGUAAGGUAACGGCUUACCAAGGCAACGAUGCGUAGCCGACCUGAGAGGGUGAUCGGCCACACUGGAACUGAGACACGGUCCAGACUCCUACGGGAGGCAGAAGUAGGGAAUCUUCCGCAAUGGGCGAAAGCUUGACGGAGAAACGCCGCGUGAGUGAGGAAGGUCUUCGGAUCGUAAAACUCUGUUAUUAGGGAAGAACAAAUGUGUAAGUAACUAUGCACGUCUUGACGGUACCUAAUCAGAAAGCCACGGCUAACUACGUG